CUCAGCGCUGUCCCUGCAGCCUCCGCCACGGCGGCCAGCAGUGCCCACGCCAAGACGGGCAGCCAAGGACAGCAGCACGCAGACGGACAAAGCGGAGCUCUUCUGGCCCAGCGUGGCCUCCCUCCACCCGAGCCGGCUGAGCACGGCCCUUCCAACAGCCCUGUCCUGAAACAGCGGCCAAAGGGACCGCGGAGAAACUGGAGAACUCUCCUGGCCACGGGAAGUCACCUGACCACAGAGGCCGCGUCAGCAGCUUGCUGCACAAGCCCGAGUUCCCGGAUGGAGAGAUGAUGGAAGUUCUCAUCUAAUGGCACCGUCCCUGCGGAACUUCACAACAGAACAUUAACAAACAAGGAAAGUGGCAGAGAAGGAGAAGAAAGAUCGAGAAGGUUGUGGAUGAGAAAUCAGGAAUGAUUUGAAAUGAUAAAGAUUUCAGAUUAGUUAAGAACACUUUUUAUGAAUGUUAAAAACAAAAACAGCAGACCUACAUGACUGAAGAUGGAAGAGAAUGCUAUGGAUUUUUAUUAUAUAUGGUGGGAGAGAGAAGAUUCAUGUAGGUUUGGAAACAAAAGUUAAGAAGAAAUAGGAAAUGGAAUUUUUCAUUGUACAGAAAAUGUAUCUCUUGGGGAGGUUCUGUGUACCCCCAUUCUCUGGUUAUAAACAGAUAAAUCCGAACAUGGAUCUUCCUUGAAAUACUCCCAUUCUCCUUGCCUCUUAGCAUGUUUGGUUUAGAAAGAACCUCUAGAAAUCUUUAGAGCCCAUCUUGGCAUAAUGCAGUAUAACCUGUGCCAUCUGUGGGGUGUCCUGGAAGUGUGUGUGGGUGUGGCAGUGGGGAGAAAUGUCCAGGGGUGAUGGGGAAUUUGCAAGGUGGCCUUCGCCUGACCACCUGUUUGGCUUGGAUUUUUAGGAGAUUAUGGGGCUUCUUAGGGUUUCUGGAUUCUGCAUUAUUUCUAAACAGGAUGGAAGCGUUAUGAUCUUAGUCCUUAUCCUCCCUGACUUCUCUGAGUUCAUCUCUGUCUCUACUUUAUUCUCUUUAAUUUUAAAUUAACUUUUUUUGUUCCUUCUAUUUAUUUCUUUUUAAUAAACAUGGCAGCCUUCCUUAGGUGUGGGGUUUAUGAGAGUGUUAUCUGAACUGUCAGUGUUCCUACUGUGUUUAUAGUGGCCAGUAGGACAAAGCCACACGCUGGCUUCCUGGCUACUUCUUCCAUCUUUGUAUAGUUGGGCUGCAGCUGUUAAUCUCAUUCUGACUGUGAGCCAGGUGAGCUUUGAGGAGGCGGAAGAUUCCUUGGGUCACUGUGACUUCUUGCAUUAAGAUCAUGGCACUGGCUUUUUUCUGUCUCACAUCAGCUUUCUUCCAAGGAGCUUGAUGUUUCCACCCCAUGGCUCUGUUGGGGAAGAUUUUCAGGACAGCACUCCAGGAAACAGAUGACAGUUUACAAACAGUUGUCUUGGUGGCAUCCAGCAUCUCACCAGGCACCCUUGUACCACUGUCUUGUCAGGUGGCUCACAAGCAUGCUGGCCACUCCUGCCCCAUUACACUCCUCUGGUUACUGCUGAUGAGCCUGCAGACUUCCAUGGCAUCAGUGUGUCUGUCGUGAACUUGCCUUGUAACCUAACAGGCUCGUAUAUAUACAUUGUGGUCAGGUUUUUCAAGAUUUCAGUUCUGGUGCAACUUAUACAACAAAGUGAGGCAGAAAUGCCGUGGAAAAGAGCCAGGAAUGAGUUAGGUAGCGGGCCUCUUGUACCUUUGCUGUGACAUUUCACAUACAACCCUUCAGAUGUUGGUUUCCUUUACAAAUCUAGGACUUGGUGGAUUAGAAAAGAAAAGCUAAUCAGGGCCCUGGUAUUUUUCUCCCUCCGGGUCAGCUGGGUCUGUGUAUCUAUGUUUUCCCUUUCCUCCUGCUUUCUUAGGGGGAAAAUAAAAGCCCCAGGUCUGAGACUUUUCCAAGUACUUCUCAAGUGAAACACUAAAGACAGCGCCCUUGGGAAACUUUGCUCAGGUAGCUUAUUUUAAGACUGGUUUUGGAGUGGAACCUGAGCACAGUUACGGCCUCCCCAGACUGAGGGACUGAGGUGACAGAGGGAGGACAAGAGGUGUAGGCUGGAGAAGGUAGGAGGAAAUGGCAGGCUUUGGCCAGACAGGCAUCUGAGCCAUCCCAUGUGGCGGAGUCGGUGGGACCGGCCCUCUCCAGCUCUGUGCUUGGUGCAGCCUCCUCCAGUCUCACGCCGCGAGCAUCAAAGUAGCGCUGCGCAGAUGGGGAAACUGAGGCGGCUCCGAGGGGCUGAGCGAUGAGCCUGCCCCAUGCCCUGGAGUGUGGGAAGAGGGCACGGGAAGGCUUGUCAGUGUGGACGGUUGAGUGCAGCUGUGGGUGGGGAGGUGGCAGAGGGGUCCCAUGCCAACCUCUGCUCCCCAUCACUUGUCAUGGGGAUCAGGUUCAAGUGAUGGCAGCCAACUCUCUCAAGGACAUUUUGAACCCAAUUUAUGUUGGGGAUGGACCAGAAAGGAAAGUGUCCAGAGACAGAAAGGUAAGUCAACUCCGCCAGCCGCCACUGCCGCAUCUGGGCCUCCCCAAACUUGGGCUGUCUCCCCAGACAUGGGUAAGAGCAAGAGCCCCAGCCAGCUUCUCCUGAAGUCUGGCCUUCAUGCCCAGACACCUCUUGGGCACACUCAGGCACGUGCUCGCCUGCUCUUCUCGGCCCCCCGGAACUGCCAAGUGUUUCAGUUGUCAGACUACAAACGGACACGUCACCAUUUUUCAGGGCCUCAACUGUGCUGUGCUGUGGCCUUUUGUGGAUAUUUUUUUCUCUUAACCUACCAAGACUCUUCCUUGAGAAAAGGAUCUAUAGCUUUAAAGUGUCUUCUCUUAAAGGGAGAUUUGCUGCCAAUCCAGGGCCCUCAACACUCAUCGUCAGAGCUUUCCUGAGGCCCAGCUUAUACGUAGGAAGAAGGGACUGCAUAUAUGGAGUGCCCGCUCUGAGUUCUGGGCAGUGUAUAAUACCUCAUCACAUUUGAUUUUCAGAAAAAUAAUGCCAGCUAUAUUUCCUAGUGCCAACUGUAUGUGAGCACUGUGGUAAAAACCUCUUAAUUAGUCCUCAAGCCACCUGGGGUGUGGAGGGCAAACUGGGGCUCAGGGAGGUUAAGUCCCUUCCUGAAGCCUCACAGCCAGGAGAAGCUGGGGAUUAAUACAAGGGUUUGCAAGGGGAGCUGGGCCAGCCCCUGGCUGUACAGCCUCUAACGCGAGGUGCCACAUCCUGGCCCUCUCCGUCCCCCAUCUGUGACGUGUGUGCACAUGCACACACACACGUGCAUUCACCCCUGCACGCACACAGCUGUCACGCCUCUUAGGGCCUAAGAAAUAGGACUAACCCCAGAACUCCUAGAAUUGCCUGUAAACACCGGGCAUAGCUGGAAAUCAUGGUGUUCCAUUGUAAGCACGGCUACAAAAUACACCUAAAAAACAGCUCUGCAUUCAUUGUCCAGAGGCCUAGACUUCUUCAAACCUUCCAGUAAAUUCUGAUUAUGGAAGUUGAGGGUCUUGGCUCAGGGUGAAGGGUCUUGGCUUGGGUUUCGUGUGAAGGCAUGCCAGGGUAUCCUUGAAGGUGCUAGCUGGCAGCUUCUGUGUGCUGCCUGCGUACUAUGUGGAAUUUGAGAAGUUGAAGUCUAGUCUGAUGCUAGAGUUUCACGCAGUAGAUGGUUCUGUACAGAAGAACUACUGCUGUCUGCAGGCCCAUACAGCUAAGCUGCCAGGAAAAAAAACAUUACUUUCCAAAAUUGUCAGAGCAUGUGCAGGAGACUUUCUUAGCAUUCUCUUCUUUCAGUAUUUUUUCUGUUUCCCAGAUGCUGGCAGCCAGUGACAGUAUGGAGUUGGGGGUGUUCUAACUGAGCAUGCAGGCCAGGGCUUUGGUUGGGAGGGCAGGGAGUGAUGGGUCCCUUCUGGCUUCAGUCCUGCGCUGGUUGCUCUUUGGAACUCAUGUAGGAGCUUGACUUCACGAGGCUUGGAGUGGAUACCGAGACAGUUGCAUCAGUUGAGUUCUGAACUUGGAACAGAAAAUUCAGUGGUUCCUUUGCUCAGGGAGGAGGCUCUGAGAAUGUCCCUUGCAUCUCUGCCAUCUCUACUGUCUUCCCAGCCAGUCUUCACUCCUCCCUGUUCUCACCUGGUUUGCAUCCUCAUCAUGCAGUGGCUGAGACUCCUUCAUGCCAAGUGCUGAUGGAGUGGGAAAUCCUCCCUCCCCGGCAGCUUCUCAGUCCUAGAGACUUACGUGAGCACAGACAUCAGGUGAGUCUGGGGGACAGUGGGGGACAGUGAAGAAGAGGUUGGGAGGUUGCAAGGUUUCGAGGCAGGGAGUUCACACUUAGAGUGAAGGGAACUGUGCUCAGUAAAGAGAUGUGUUUUCCAAAGCCAAAGUCUUGCCCCACGUCCACACCGGAGCAAGUGGAGCAUGUUUCUAGGUAUUCUCUGAGUGAUUCUGCUCUCCAAAGCAAAGAACUACCUUGGCCAUAGUAAGUGGCGUCCCACAGAUGUUCUUAAGCGGCAAAGGCUUUAAGUAGCCAGAGAGUGUCCAGCCCACGAUUGACAUCCCCACAUCCCAAAAGGCUGAGGCUGCCAUGGUACAGGCUUUAUAAAGGUUGGUUUUUCUUUUCUUUUUGUUAAUUAAGUAAUGUAUUUAAAAUGUCUUCAUUCGAUGUGAGGAUUGUUUAAUGGGUUUGCUUCUGAUGUGUGGCUCCAUGGGAGAUGGGCAGAGUAAUUAAGAAGUUACCAGAAGCAGGUCAGCUGGGAACAUGCACAGGUUAGCAUUUCUGUAAGUGAAUUUCUUCUGGAACAAAUGAGCAAUUUUUUUCUCUUUCUUGUAGGUAGUAUACCCUUUUCCCAUUUAGUAAUUUAAUGGCCUAUAAAGACAUGUGUACAUGUAAGUGUAUGCAUAUGAGGUAUGACUAGAAGGUUAUGUGUGGGAUUUCUUUUCUUAAUAUACAGAAGAUACAAGUGUUUCAUCUCACCCCACCUUCCUUAAAAGGCAUCCCUUUGGGACAUUGUAUACUGAUUCACUGCAGUGCUGCCAAAGUAAAAAUAUUUUGUGAACUCCUCUAUUAGAAUGGCCUUCGGUGCCAGGCACAUUGCUUUGAUUCUCCUUAAAGAUGAGAAAUCUUCAUCCUUUGAGGAUGGAUUUAAGUUCUGGAAAUAAUCUCAAGUUCUUUAUAGCACAUUUUGAUGAAUAAAGAUGGCAAUUAAGCUAAGUCACGCCAUUUUUGUUUCUAAAAAUAAAUUCCUAAGAAGUUUGUUGGAAUGAGUCUUUGGACUCAGAGCCUCUCCGAGCGACACUUCAAGGGAGGACAAUACUCAUGAGUACGUGUAACUCCCAGUGGAUUCGUUUUUAAAAAUCUGUUCUCUUGCCAUGCCUCGUAUGUGUUCACACCUCUGCAUACACUACAGAAGGAAGUGCAUAUUCAUUAGUAUAAACAUCCAGUAGGGAUUCUGUAAAACCGUGUUAUACUUAGGUGCAUGUUAUUGUCGUGUUAUGCUGUGACUGAGGUGUUCCUUUGCCGUGAAUCUUUGCUUCUUCACAGAAUUGCAGUACUGUUCUCUAUAUAAUGCAGUGCAUACGCAGCAUUUUCUUAUAUCAGCUCCUGAAGUUCUGAUGCCCAGUGUUGUGUUUACAUGUGAUUCUGCCUAGGAUUCUGUUCACACAUAGACAUCUGUAUUUAUUACUAAACAGAAUGCAAGCAAAUAUAUCCACAGUGGUUUUAUUUGAAUCGAGGCGUUUUUCCCUUUUGAGGAGGGACACGGAGCCACCUCCUCCAUGAGGCACUUACAGGAUCUGCGAAAAAUUCUGUGAAACAAGGGCGGGCGUGGGCACCUGCUUGCAGCCAAAACUCCCACAGCCGCUCCUUCACCUGCCCGUGGUGCCACUCUCUCCGCCCACUCCGUGUGUGUGCGUCGCUGUGCUUGGUGGCAGCGUGCAGUGUGCUCUGUCCUUCCCAGGCGCCCCUGGGAUCUGGGUGUAACAUUUUGGUGUCUCCGUGUUGCCGGUCUGUACUGAGGGGUGGUGUACAGAGCUGUACAGCCAGAUGGGUCUGUGUACAGAGUGGGGGGCAGUGCAAGAGCACACGUGUCCCCCACAGCAGAUAUUGAUGCCGUUGGUCAGCCAAAGAUUUCCUUAUUCUUUGCUGCUUAAACUUGUGCCUUAAUAUUGUAUAUAAUAAAUGGAUAAAAUGGCAAAAUG
Non-coding RNA from Microcebus murinus (gray mouse lemur), 6219 nucleotides. The record is from RefSeq and is a predicted model, not a curated record. Lineage: Eukaryota; Metazoa; Chordata; Mammalia; Primates; Cheirogaleidae.